UUGGACUCGGGGGCAGUACCCGACGCCUCCACCAAAAUAUAAUAAAAAGAAAUUAUAUUUUGGUGGGGGCGAAACAGGAUCGACAAAAGUGUAAAGAUUGCUCUUUUACUCGGCAUUGUACCACCGUUAUCGGACUAACUUAGUAGUUGCAAAUGACAACUAUGCGGAAGCGCGUCUCGCUGCUUAGUGCAGUGCGAAAGCUUCAAAUUAAGCCUUAAAUCGUCGCAGAUUUAAGCGGAGUUCGGAGG
RNAcentral lists this transfer-messenger RNA (248 nucleotides) under uncultured Bartonella sp. RNAcentral describes it as "partial ssrA". It matches the Rfam family "Alphaproteobacteria transfer-messenger RNA", at positions 86 to 331 of the family's 355-position model. Rfam says of the family: Bacterial tmRNA, also known as 10Sa RNA or SsrA, is named for its dual tRNA and mRNA-like properties. Its role is to liberate the mRNA from a stalled ribosome. To accomplish this part of the tmRNA is used as a reading frame that ends in a translation stop signal. The record is from RNAcentral. Lineage: Bacteria; Pseudomonadati; Pseudomonadota; Alphaproteobacteria; Hyphomicrobiales; Bartonellaceae.